Molecule: ribosomal RNA, 253 nt
Filed under: uncultured bacterium
Lineage: Bacteria
Description: partial 16S ribosomal RNA
Rfam family: Bacterial small subunit ribosomal RNA
Source: RNAcentral
GACGGAAGGUGCAAGCGUUGCUCGGAAUCACUGGGCUUAAAGGGUGCGUAGGCGGCUUUGCAAGUUGGGUGUGAAAGCCCUCGGCUCAACCGAGGAAUUGCGCUCAAUACUGCCGAGCUCGAGAGAGACAGAGGUAAGCGGAACUAAUGGUGGAGCGGUGAAAUGCGUUGAUAUCAUUAGGAACACCGGUGGCGAAGGCGGCUUACUGGGUCUUUUCUGACGCUGAGGCACGAAAGCCAGGGGAGCGAACGGG